CCCUUAGAUGCUCUGGGCCGCACGCGCGCUACACUGGUCGAUGCAACGAGUUUCUUUCCUUGGCCGACAGGCCUGGGCAAUCUUUGAACAUCGAUCGUGAUCGGGAUAGAUUCUUGUAAUUUUUGAUCUUAAACGAGGAAUUCCUAGUAAACGCAAGUCAUCAGCUUGCAUUGAUUACGUCCCUGCCCUUUGUACACACCGCCCGUCGCACCUACCGAUUGAAUGGUCCGGUGAAAUCUCCGGACUGGCGGGAGUCGGAGCAAUCUGACAAACGCCGGAAAGUUGAUUAAACCUUACCAUUUAGAGGAAGGUGAAGUCGUAACA
Molecule: ribosomal RNA, 324 nt
Filed under: uncultured eukaryote
Lineage: Eukaryota
Description: partial 18S ribosomal RNA
Rfam family: Eukaryotic small subunit ribosomal RNA
Source: RNAcentral